CCUACGGGAGGCAGCAGUGGGGAAUAUUGGACAAUGGACGAAACCCUGAACCAGCCACGUCGCGUGAGCGAUGAAGUCUCUCGAUAUGUUAAGCUCUAUUAGCAGGGAAGAAAAUGACGGUACCUGACUAAGAAGCCCUGGCUAACUACGUGCCAGCAGCCGCGGUAAUACGUAGGGGGCACGCGUUAUCCGGAUUUACUGGGUGUAAAGGGAGCGUAGACGGGCCUGCAAGCCAGAUGUGAAAGCCCGGGGCUCAACCCCGGGACUGCAUUUGGAACUGUAAGGCUAGAGUGUCGGAGAGGCAGGCGGAAUUCGUAGUGUAGCGGUGAAAUGCGUAGAUAUUAGGAAGAACACCGGUGGCGAAGGCAGCCUGCUGGAGGAUGACUGACGCUGAGGCUCGAAAGCGUGGGUAGCAAACAGGAUUAGAUACCCCAGUAGUC
Molecule: ribosomal RNA, 440 nt
Filed under: uncultured bacterium
Lineage: Bacteria
Description: partial 16S ribosomal RNA
Rfam family: Bacterial small subunit ribosomal RNA
Source: RNAcentral